This 396-nucleotide unclassified non-coding RNA is filed under the name soil metagenome. Its description in RNAcentral is "partial contains 5.8S ribosomal RNA, internal transcribed spacer 2, and large subunit ribosomal RNA". The stretch from base 1 to 122 matches the Rfam family "5.8S ribosomal RNA", at positions 35 to 154 of the family's 154-position model. The record is from RNAcentral.
GAUGAAGAACGUAGCGAAAUGCGAUACUUGGUGUGAAUUGCAGAAUCCCGUGAACCAUCGAGUCUUUGAACGCAAGUUGCGCCCGAAGCCAUUAGGCCGAGGGCACGCCUGCCUGGGUGUCACACACCGUUACCCUCGCGCCAACGUCCAUCGUUGGCCGCGGCGCGGGGCGUGCGCUGACCUCCCGCGAGCGGGGUCUCGUGGUUGGUUGAAAAUCGAGUUCGCGGUCGAGGGUGCCGUGAUGAAAUGGUGGAUGGGCGACGCCCGAGGCCAAUCACGCGCGACUCUGUCCGGCGCGGACUCCUGGACCCCUUCGGCGUCUCCGGACGCUCUUUGGCGAGACCUCAGGUCAGGCGGGGCUACCCGCUGAGUUUAAGCAUAUCAAUAAGCGGAGGA